GUCCCCUGUUUCUCCACCGACCAGCCCGCCGCCCGGAGAGUCACGUCCUGCCUUCUGUCAAUGGGCGCCUUGCUACUGGUGCAACCAGCGGCCGAAGAUCGUCUAUGCAGACCAAGACUAGUCACUCUCCAUUAAUUUUAAAACCACCAAAACUAUGAAAACUACAAAUUAAAUUAAAGAGAAAAGAAUCCCAAAAUACUAAACACUCAUCACACUUAAAAUUAACAAAAACGACACGUUACAUGGACUUUUAUCUCUUUUGGCCAUUAAGCUAACGUUAUUUGAGCCAGACAUUUAUUUGUACGUUACUUGGCAACAACACAUAAGCUAGCAACCCCAUCAGGCACAGACGCAUGAAUGCAAAAUGAGACCAAAAUGCUGGAGGAGAGGCUGCGGGCUGAGAAAAUGUGCCUGUUCCAUACUACAGUUUGAAGCAUCUUUCCAUAGACAAUCUUUGUCCAUUCUUAUCAGUGGGUUGGUUCUUUGCCUCUGACAUCACUGGCUUGUGUCAGUGUGACUUGUGUCACAAGUCACUACUUGUGUCAGUCCUCAAGUAUAAUAAACUUUAUUUAUACAUCA
Molecule: long non-coding RNA, 579 nt
Organism: Seriola aureovittata
Lineage: Eukaryota; Metazoa; Chordata; Actinopteri; Carangiformes; Carangidae
Exons: 2
Source: RefSeq, a predicted model, not a curated record